Molecule: ribosomal RNA, 482 nt
Filed under: uncultured bacterium
Lineage: Bacteria
Description: partial 16S ribosomal RNA
Rfam family: Bacterial small subunit ribosomal RNA
Source: RNAcentral
GAUGAACGCUAGCGGCAGGCCUAAUACAUGCAAGUCGGACGGGAUUCAGGAGCUUGCUUCUGAUGAGAGUGGCGCACGGGUGCGUAACACGUAUGUAACCUACCUUUAUCAGGGGGAUAGCCUCUCGAAAGAGAGAUUAAGCCCGCAUAAAAUCACAGCACAGCAUUGUGUAAUGAUCAAAUAUUUCUAGGAUAAAGAUGGGCAUGCGGAACAUUAGCUAGAUGGCGGGGUAACGGCCCACCAUGGCGACGAUGUUUAGGGGAGCUGAGAGGAUGGCCCCCCAGACCGGUACUGCGGCACAGACCAGUAUGCGACGGGGGGCAGCAGUAAGGAAUAUUAUUCGAGGAGCCGAAACCGGAACACGCCAUGCCAGGUGCGGGAGGACGGCCAUCCGGAUUGUAAACUGCUUUUAUACGAGAAUAAACCCAGAUACGAGUAUCUUGCUGAAGGUACUGAAAGAAUAAGGAUCGGCUAACUCCGUG